UAAAAAAUAAAUUUUUGAUGAAAGAACCCACGAACUCAUAUUGAACUCGAUUAGGAAAUCUUCAUCAUACCGUAGAUACUAUGAAAAUGGGAAACACGGAAAAAAAUAGAAUAUGGUU
This 118-nucleotide ribosomal RNA is filed under the name Trachydiscus minutus. Lineage: Eukaryota; Eustigmatophyceae; Goniochloridales; Goniochloridaceae. The record is from RNAcentral.